GACGAACGCUGGCGGCGUGCUUAACACAUGCAAGUCGAACGGAAAGGCCCUGCUUUUGUGGGGUGCUCGAGUGGCGAACGGGUGAGUAACACGUGAGUAACCUGCCCUUGACUUUGGGAUAACUUCAGGAAACUGGGGCUAAUACCGGAUAGGAGCUCCUGCUGCAUGGUGGGGGUUGGAAAGUUUCGGCGGUUGGGGAUGGACUCGCGGCUUAUCAGCUUGUUGGUGGGGGAGUGGCUUACCAAGGCUUUGACGGGUAGCCGGCAUGAGAGGGUGACCGGCUACAUUGGGACUGAGAUACGGCCCAGACUCCUACGGGAGGCAGCAGUGGGGAAUAUUGCACAAUGGGCGGAAGCCUGAUGAAGCAACGCCGCGUGCGGGAUGACGGCUUUCGGGUUGUAAACCGCUUUCGCCUGUGACGAAGCGUGAGUGACGGUAAUGGGUAAAGAAGCACCGGCUAACUACGUG
RNAcentral lists this ribosomal RNA (468 nucleotides) under uncultured bacterium. Its description in RNAcentral is "partial 16S ribosomal RNA". It matches the Rfam family "Bacterial small subunit ribosomal RNA", at positions 28 to 507 of the family's 1533-position model. The record is from RNAcentral.